GAUACAGGUAAGCCAUGUGGUGUGGGAAGUGGCUGAGAACUUCCAGUUGGUGAAGCCCAUAGGCCAGCCAAAGGGCACCACCAAGGAACACUGGUGUUUUUUUGAAGGUAAGGCCAAUUCUGAUGAAUUUUGAAUCCGCAAGGCUUGUGUAAGGGAGUACCUGAUUGAGGAGAACUCCUUCGUCAAGGGUGUGAAGACCCCGUGAUUGGCGCUGGACUUAUGGAGCAUGCUCACUGAUAAGAGGGGCAUGCAUCUGGAGGAAGUGAACCCUGAUGAGCCCCACUGGGGAGGGGAUGAUAAGUGUCAGUGACUGGGUGAGUGACCAGUCAAGAGACUUGGCUAUACUGAAAAGACCACGGUAUUGGCCUGGCUGGCAGGUGUGAUGAAGGUGGGGGAGGGGAUGUAGAGCCUUGUGAAGAGGACACGCUCCCUGUUGAGAGCAUGCUAUUUCCUUUUUGUUCCAACACAGCUUCCCUUUAUUUAUUUUACAUUAAAGUGUGGUGGGUGAGCAGAAGGACGUGGGCAAUGGCUCUCAGGAAGAGCUACAGGGCAUGUUGCAUCUGCUGACAUUAGUAUUCUGGAUGUGCAUCUACAGAAGUAUUUUAAAAAUGCACAUCUACAGCCCUGAUCCUCCCCACAUUUAUGUGACCACAUGGAGCUGAUCUCUGACAAUCUCCAACCCCUGUGGGGAAGUAAUAUUUAAAAACUAUAUAUUCAGAGUAAAUGCUGAUUCUAUAAUAUAGCUGUAGGCAUAUGGAGGAGCAAGAGAAAAUCAUUUGUGCCUGGGUGACAAGAGUGGUGCUCUGUUGAAAAUCAGAACGUUUUCUGUCAGCCGGACUUUAGAGCAGUGGUUUUCAACUUGUGGUCUGUGGAUCUUGGGUCUGCAGACUGUCUAAGGGGUUCAUGAGAAAUGACUAUGAUCAAUCAAAAGUAUAUGAAUACCUACAUUUACAGUUCAAAGGGGUUUGCACCUCCACUCAAAAUUUUUUAGGGAUCUACAAAUGAAAAAAGGUUGAAAAUCACUGCUUUAGAGUACUUGGGUAGCAAAAUGUGUCAGAAUAUAGCCGUUGAUCCUGGGCAAUACUCAUGUACUGUGAGUUUAGUCCCUGUCCCUUACAGCUUUCUGGAAAUGUGUAUUGUACAGAGGAACUUUUAAAUGUUUUGCCAUAAGAAGAAAGCAUUUUGAGUAAAUGUUGUUAUUUCAAAGUAGUCUAAAAUCCACAGGUAUAUUCAGAUUUUGCCACAGAGGUAUUGUCAAGGAAAGUGCCAACAAUUAAAUGGAGGAAAGAUAAAAGUGGCAGCUUCAGAAUGUGAUUAUGCUAUAGGUUCCUCAUGUGUUUCUUGAAUAAUGGGACUGAGAGUGAUCAAAGAAAAGCAAGUAGCUUCAACUUGUAUCAGAGUCCAUAUGAUCAAAAGGGUUGUGUCAGAUAAGUGCACCUAUAUUAAACCACUUUUCUAGCUCUGGUUAAUGUGGCAACACAAUAUUUUCAUCAGUCAAAACAGGUUUAUCAUUAAAUAAAAAUGUAGAAAACAAUGUUUCUAAAAUACUAAGGACUGCUUUCUAAAAUAUUUCAUUCAAUCUACAUAACUAGGGGUUCACACCAGUCACCCCUAAAAGUUCUGUAGCAUCUUGGGUUACAAUGGAAAUGUCAAAUACUAGAAAAAAUCAGUCUCAAUCACACUAAACCUCCAAUAACAUCCCCCCCCAAAUGCUUCAGAAAAAAUCAAAUGUUGCACAAAACAAAUCAAAACACAACAAAAAAGUUUAAAAAUCACUGAUUUGUUUUCCAUAUUAAAAGGGAAAUUCUGGAGUAAUUUUAUCUGUGAUGGGGUGGCAUUACCACUUCACCACAGUAAAGCCAGGGGUAUAGUUAGCAGUGGAAAGCACAAUUUGAUCUUUAAGAAGCAAGGAGAAUUCGAAGUACAUGCAGAUGAACGAAAGAACACUGUUGUGCUCAUCCAAAUGCACCCAAAAAAGGUAACUCGGCAAGAGUGCUGCUAUGCUGGCUAGCACUGAAUAUAUUUUGAACAUGAAGUACGCCUAAGAAUUAGUUGCCAUCAACAGAUUCAACAGACAAAAAGGCUAACAUUUCUAUGUGUACAUUCAAAUAUCUCAUAAACACCAUUCUGUGGGACACAGCAGAAUACAUAAAAAUAGCACAUGUUCAGCAUUCCUUUCAUAUCUUUUGAUGAAGUGAGCUUGGGCUCUUAAAGCUUAUGUUAUACAUCUCUUGAUUUAGUCAGUCUAUAAGGUACAAAUCUACCUUGUCUUCUGCAUAUUAGGGAGGCCAUGGCUGAAACAUCCUUUGGUUGUUUUCUCCAGUAGCUCUUGCCUGGAAGCAGAGUUAAGUGUGUGGGAUGAAGCUGGCUUCCUAACUCCUUAUUUCCUGGUUUUCAGACAUUUAUAAUAAAAUGUAAGUGUAUGCUGCACUGUGGACAGUGAUGUGAGGCUCCUGGUCGCUCUUAACUCUGCUUUAACAAAGUUUUUGAGCAGUGAAAAUGAGUCAAAUUAAUCUGCAGCAUGAAUCCAUCGACUUCAAAGAAUGCAUUUGUUCCCAGUACAUGGAGGGCCUGAUUUUCCUCCAAAUUUCACCUUGUCUUGUUUCCAUAGGGGGGUGUGUGUGUGUGUGUGUGUGUGUGUGUGUAAAAUCAAACCAUUACUGUGACUGGGGAAUUCUGAUUAUUUACUUUGAUUUCAGCAGAUGUAGACGGGUAUAAAGUAUCAGAAUCAGGCCCACUCUGUUUACAUGGGCUGACUGCUAAGUAGAGCCCAGUGCACGGUACAUUUAUACAUCUUGUACUUAGCUCACCCUAGUGCAAGUAAGGGGGAAUGCAUUUAAGAUCCCCCUGCACCUGUGGAGGCAGCUGUGCUAGCAGUUUUGUUUCCUCUCUGGAGAAAGCAAAUGGCAGUAUUGGAAUACCAUCAGAAAAGGCAAACUACAGUUUAUAGCUUGGGUUCCAUAUGAGUCCUAUUAGCAGAAGGUGUUCACCCAGCCAGCCCUUCCCACUUUUGGCCUGCAUUGAUGCAGUAAAACUUGUGUUUUUAUUUUUUCCUACCAUCUCUACCAUACAGCUGUCCCACAGAAUAGAUUCUGAUAGUGGUUACAACUGUCUCAGCCCAUCUGGCACAUGGACUUUCUACCAGAGGGAGGACUACAUCCUGGAUUCUCCACUUAAUUCCUGGAAGAAGCAAGGACAUGAAUGAUGCUCUUUAUCUGAAAGACUUGGGGAGAAGUUAACAAGUUUGGAGAGAAGUCUGAAAUCUUUUCUCAUAACUGGAAUGGCUGAGAAUCGCAGUUCUUCUGGGAAACUCAUAUGUGGAUAUCAAUAGAGGAUUGAAAACACUUUGAUGCUACACAAGUUGGGCACACAAGGAAGGAGCAUGAUCUGAGGAUAACGCAAAACAGAAAAUAUAUUGUGUGUCAAACCAAUAUCCCAGAUCCUAACACUCAUAGAUGCCUGGGAAAACAGUGCUCAUAAUAUAGAUCUGCAUUGAAAUUUUGCACCUUGACUUCAUCAGCAAAGGCUUCUGCCUGCAUGAUGUCUGGCUUGCAGGUAAAGACACCCAGUCCACCCUAGUGAACCAACAACCCUGACAGAGUGCAGAAGUAGGCUGCAUGUAUCUUCUGAUGGAACUGGCAGAGAAAAUCGGACACUGGGACAAACAGCCAUAAAUCAGGACUGUCCCGAUUAAAUCAGGCAUGGCUGGCAAUGUCUGUUUCCUGCAAAUAUCUGCCAUCUACAAUAUUGACUGGUUUAUCAGGCAGCAGGUAUCUCUAUCAGUCUAUCUCGAAUUGUCAUCCAACAGAAGAUUAAAUGCUGCCUGCCUCCUUCUUGUGAUUUUUUCAGUCUUCACAUCACAAAGUUUUCAAUCAAAUUUCAGCAGUGUACAUUUAGCUCAGAGAACUCACGGUACUUAUCUUCCUAAAGCAGCUCUCUCCACAACCAGGCUACUAGCCAAACAACAACAACAACAAAGAUCCUGAAUAACAGACAAGUGCCAGUUUUCAGAAGAGUUAUAUCAGUGCAGCAACCUUGCAUUGUUAGUUUUUAAAAUGAAAAGCAACAUAACCAUAUACAGCAUUGUUCUAAAGAGCUUCCUCAUUAAUAAUCUUUUGAAUGCACUUAUCACAGUUGCGGUUUCAGCUCAUGAAUCAGCUCAGGCAUGAGGAGGAUGUCAGCUGUGCACAUUUCUUGCUUUACAUCAGAUACCUGAGGAAGCUGUGGUCUGUUAGGUAUCCUGGAAAAUAAACUACAGCUCCAUUUGUAAGGAAUUCAGUAUGAACAAGCUGACAUUAAAAAAAGGACUUCUUUGCCAAUUAACAUAUUUUCCACAUGGGGUUUUGAUAAACAGACUAACUAGAUUCUGAAGAAACAUAAACUCGAAGAUAGAGAAUUCGGAAAGGUUAAUUCCAGUGAUCACAAAGCCAGGGUGGAAUUGUUGUCUUGUGUUCUAUAUAAAAUAAUAAUAGUAUAAAUAGAAGUAAAAUGACUUUCCCAAGGACCUGUGAUAGGUGACUGGUGGAGAAUCAGGAAUUGUUAACUAAUUCUCUAACCUACAGAGAUUUUAGUCUGCCCUGGCUUCAGUCAGUGUUAAGACCAGGCAUGAGAUCCUUAUACUUAAUCCACCCCUGUGUGGGAGAAAAGGCUUGGUAUGAUGUAAAAGGGCCUUAAAAGCUGUAGUGGUAGCUAGGGAGAAGUCUCACACUGCAGGCAUUGUGGAGAAUGGCUGCAGGCAGAUUUCUAGGGAUGCUUUAGCAGCUAUAGAGGAGAACCUGGUGGAGUGAAGCUGCUGUAUCCUUUGCUGCAGAGACCCCAAACAGCACUGUCAUGUAGAAACUGCCCUUAGUAUGACUACUGGGACUGUUUAAGAUGCCAUUGUCUUCCCAGACUGGCUGGGAGCUAGUCCAGCCCUCAACUGCAGCAUAUGACUGGCAAUCCAAAAAUCCAAGAGAAAUGUCUAGCAGCUUGAAGGAAAGUGGAUUCAGGGCUGCCAUCUUUGUUCACCCACACCUUCUGAGCCAGGCAUUUGGUUACAGGAGCUCUGUAAUGCCAGAGAAUUUCCAUCUAGCAAAGGAAAUCAUCAAAAGGCAGGAUUCACUAGUUUUAAUCUACUAUAUACUGCCAGUGUGGCACAAAGGAGAGUUAAGUGACAUGAGAAUUGGCCCACCUGUUUGCUCAUGAAUGCCUGUGGCUCUCAUUUAGUGUUAAUGAAAUCAAUGUGAACACAUCAAAGGGAAAAAUAUGCUGAGAAGUAAAAAUCAGUGACUGGCCAUUGUUAAAUCAGCCAAGUUGACUAUGUGAACCUAAUUUUCCUCCUGUAUAUGCAAACUGAAAAGUAAAUUGAAGUGCUAGGUGUGAAACAAUCGCUUUGCUGCUGGACAUGGAAAAAAUUAUUACUUUGUUUCUAUUACUUCUGUCCCUCUGUGUCAGAUUUUCCCUUCCACUUCCAUAAGUGAAGCUCAGUAAAAAAGCAGUGCCCUACUUGGGGGGAGAGGGAAAGGUUGUGGCAUACAGCCUCUUUCACUCCAGCCUUAAAGAACCUCUCCUAUGAGCCCUGUGCAGUGCUAAGAGCCUGUAGGAGAAGGGGUAAGUAAGAGGUUGAUGGCAUACCAUUCUCCAUAACAUUGUUGUCUUCAGCUCUCUAGAGGGUCCCAGGUAUGAGUUAAUGUAUUAACUUUCACAAGGACAGCAACAUUUCCUUCCCUCAAUAGUGUCUUCAAGGUGCCUAUCAGACCCAAAAGGGUAUGUGGGAGCGGGGGGCUGGGAAACAGAGUAGAUAUUCAGUAUCAGGGAUACCAACUGUCCAUAAAUUUAUAAAUUUAUGGACAGUCUGAAAAAUCAAGUAAAAAACUCCUGUCCAUAAAGUCAGUAAGAAACUUCUGCCCACUAAAACUGGGAAGCCACCCGAGCAUCAAUCAAGCUCCAUGAUCAGAAAGAAGCUGUUGAAGUACAGAUGGAGCAUAGCAGCACCACCUGGUGUGCAGGAGCACCAGCACUGCCAGGUUAUCUAAACCCUUUGUUCCCAGCCUCCUCUCCCCAGUGGUGUGGGCAGACUGCUCUGUGGGAGCCUCCAGGGACUUUCAGUCUCCAAAGCAGGCAAGAAUCCCUGUCCCCCUCUUCUCCAUGCUCAGAGGCAAGUCUCCUGUCCUUCCCAUCUCCACCCCUUUAGCCCCUCCCCUGCCUACGACUGCUGGUUUCCCUAUUCUUCCAGGGGCGGGGGAAGCUUCAGAGCCCCUCCUGCCAGGCUGCAUGGAGGCUGGGUUCAGAUGGGGGCAGCAGCAGCAGUGGUCGUGUGCCUACUCCAGGGGACCAGGCAGGGAGGAAAAACCUGUUCAUAGUCACUGCUGCUGUUGCUGGCUUCAGGUGAUCCCAGGCCCUGCAUAUUGCAGCAGGAGUAUGCAGGAGUGGCUCUAGAGCACUCCUUGCCCCUGGGACAGGGAAAGCAGCAGCAGGCCAGGGAAGGGGCCAUGUUUUUGAGCACGGAGGGUUGAGCGUGGAGGGGGGAAAGGGAGAUUCCUGCUUUGGAGAAUUAAAAAGUUCCCAGUUGCUGGUCCUGCAGUGGAGUCCAAUCUGAAAGGGUGGGGGUGCAGCCUGCCACUGUACCCCAUCUGGAUUCUCCCCACUCAUCUCACAGGUAAGCAGCUAAUCAUUGGAAUCUGUGCCAGGAUGGGGAAGCAAGGCUAGUGGGGGCAAGGCUGGAGGCAUGAAUGCCGUGUGCCCUGCAGGUGGCGGCAGGAGUGUGGUGGCGGUAUGUGGGGAACUCCUGCAGGCAGCCGCGGUGCUGUUGGUGGUGGGGGGGAUGUGGUGAACGCUGACCUGCAGUCAGUGACCGCCCACAGACGUUUGACAGCAGUGGCCGGUGGCGAUCACGGAUUGCCCGCAGACGCUGCUGGUGCUAUUGGCAGUGAGGGAGGUGGGUGGCAAGCAUGGACAGCCUGAAGGUGCCAUCAGCAGUGUCAGUGGUGCCUUGUUGUAGGGGGUGCGCCGCCACACUCGGGAGGUGCACAUGCACCUGCAUGCACCCCCUACGUAUUGCCAA
Long non-coding RNA from Alligator sinensis (Chinese alligator), 7042 nucleotides. RefSeq lists it as uncharacterized. The transcript is spliced from 8 exons. NCBI's taxonomy places the organism in Eukaryota, Metazoa, Chordata, Crocodylia, Alligatoridae. The record is from RefSeq and is a predicted model, not a curated record.